This is a long non-coding RNA of Aethina tumida (small hive beetle), 342 nucleotides long. RefSeq lists it as uncharacterized. NCBI's taxonomy places the organism in Eukaryota, Metazoa, Arthropoda, Insecta, Coleoptera, Nitidulidae. The transcript has 3 exons. The record is from RefSeq and is a predicted model, not a curated record.
AUUACAUGCAAUCGACAGAGGAACGUUAUUGAGAAAUUCAAUCACAAUCUUGUUUCAUGUUCACGUUACUAUUUCGGUAAUGGUAUUUGUGAAAAUAUCACAGGAAUGGCCUGGAUUCAUCAAGCACUUUGUUAAUAUUGAAAAAACGAUGAUGAAAUAUAAGCCUAUUAAUAAAAACGUGACAAGCCAGAUUAAUAAAAUGGCAAUAACUAUUUUUAUUACUGCAGCCAUUGAACAUAAUUUGUCUUUUAUCAGUUACAUGAACCAGAGCCAUUGUAGUUACAAAACUGGUCUAGAAUUUUACACAAAACAACGAUACCGCUUUAUAUUUUCCUACUUUGA